Molecule: ribosomal RNA, 602 nt
Filed under: Lactobacillus sp. oral taxon 461
Lineage: Bacteria; Bacillati; Bacillota; Bacilli; Lactobacillales; Lactobacillaceae
Description: bacterial SSU rRNA
Rfam family: Bacterial small subunit ribosomal RNA
Source: RNAcentral
AAGUCUGAUGGAGCAACGCCGCGUGAGUGAAGAAGGUUUUCGGAUCGUAAGGCUCUGUUGUUGGUGAAGAAGGAUAUGAGGUAGUGACUGGCCUUUAUUUGACGGUAAUCAACCAGAAAGUGGAGGCUAACUACGUGCCAGCAGCCGCGGUAAUACGUAGGUGGCAAGCGUUGUCCGGAUUUAUUGGGCGUAAAGCGAGCGCAGGCGGAAAAAUAAGUCUAAUGUGAAAGCGCUCGGCUUAACCGAGGAAUUGCAUCGGAAACUGUUUUACUUGAGUGCAGAAGGAGGAGAGUGGAACUCCAUGUGUAGCGGUGGAAUGCGUAGAUAUAUGGAAGAACACCAGUGGCGAAGGCGGCUCUCUGGUCUGCAACUGACGCUGAGGCUCGAAAGCAUGGGUAGCGAACAGGAUUAGAUACCCUGGUAGUCCAUGCCGUAAACGAUGAGUGCUAAGUGUUGGGAGGUUUCCGCCACUCAGUGCUGCAGCUAACGCAUUAAGCACUCCGCCUGGGGAGUACGACCGCAAGGUUGAAACUCAAAGGAAUUGACGGGGGCCCGCACAAGCGGUGGAGCAUGUGGUUUAAUUCGAAGCAACGCGAAGAACC